AGUAGACUGGACAAUGCUGACCACCACCCUCCAGGCCAUGGGCUUUGGCCCAAACUGGAUGAAAUGGAUGGGAGCCAUAUACUCUCACCCAACGGCAAAACUGAGAAUAAACGGCCAACUGUCGGGUCCAGUACACAUAAAGAACGGCACGAGACAGGGCUGCCCUCUCUCCCCCUUACUCUUUAUUCUCACCCUGGAACCCUUCUUACAGGGAAUACGGGACCACAACACCAUCCAUGGCUUUAAAGUUCACCAACAAGAAUUCAAGGUAUCUGCGUUUGCAGAUGACUUACUAUUUUCCAUCACCGACCCGCUCAUCUCCCUGCCUCCACUGAUAGCCGAACUGACGACAUAUGCCAAGUUAUCCAACUUUAAGGUCAAUUACACAAAGAGUGAAAUCCUACCCCUCCUAAUGGACAGACAAACACAAAACGCACUUAAAACCGCAUACCCUUUUGCAUGGGCUAGGAGGUCCAUCACCUACCUUGGGGUCCAUUUACCCAGACACUUGAAGCAUACAUACGAUCUAAACUUCAUGCCACUACUCACC
Molecule: non-coding RNA, 550 nt
Organism: Pelobates cultripes (western spadefoot toad)
Lineage: Eukaryota; Metazoa; Chordata; Amphibia; Anura; Pelobatidae
Source: the annotation of a GenBank genome assembly